GGCAUCGUAGCUCAACUGGUAGAGCGUUCGCUGUACAAAAGCGUAGGCGGCAUCUGCGCGUGGGUUCGAAUCCCACCGAAGCUA
Molecule: transfer RNA, 84 nt
Filed under: Echinostoma caproni
Lineage: Eukaryota; Metazoa; Platyhelminthes; Trematoda; Plagiorchiida; Echinostomatidae
Rfam family: tRNA
About the family: Transfer RNA (tRNA) molecules are approximately 80 nucleotides in length. Their secondary structure includes four short double-helical elements and three loops (D, anti-codon, and T loops).
Source: Rfam by way of RNAcentral